This 305-nucleotide ribosomal RNA is filed under the name uncultured bacterium. Its description in RNAcentral is "bacterial SSU rRNA". It matches the Rfam family "Bacterial small subunit ribosomal RNA", at positions 335 to 633 of the family's 1533-position model. The record is from RNAcentral.
UACCUACGGGAGGCAGCAGUAGGGAAUCUUCCACAAUGGACGAAAGUCUGAUGGAGCGACGCCGCGUGAGUGAAGAAGGGUUUCGGCUCGUAAAGCUCUGUUGGUAGUGAAGAAAGAUAGAGGUAGUAACUGGCCUUUAUUUGACGGUAAUUACUUAGAAAGUCACGGCUAACUACGUGCCAGCAGCCGCGGUAAUACGUAGGUGGCAAGCGUUGUCCGGAUUUAUUGGGGGUAAAGGGGGCGUAGACGGGUCUGCAAGUCUGAAGUGAAAGCCCGUGGCUUAACCGCGGAACGGCUUUGGAAAC